AGGGUAAUAGCUCAGUGGUAGAGCACAUGCUUAGCACAUUUGAGGUCCUGGGUUCAAUCCCCAGUACCUCCU
Molecule: transfer RNA, 72 nt
Filed under: Camelus bactrianus (Bactrian camel)
Lineage: Eukaryota; Metazoa; Chordata; Mammalia; Artiodactyla; Camelidae
Also listed under: 2 other names
Rfam family: tRNA
About the family: Transfer RNA (tRNA) molecules are approximately 80 nucleotides in length. Their secondary structure includes four short double-helical elements and three loops (D, anti-codon, and T loops).
Source: Rfam by way of RNAcentral